AGACCAUGGUGUGGACAUUUCUAAAGCAAGUCUUUAUACCUUUCCCAUGCUUUGUAUAAAGAUUCGAAAUCAUAUUGUGUGAAGGAAUUGAUGUCGUUCCUCAUCUU
Molecule: small nucleolar RNA, 107 nt
Filed under: Theobroma cacao (cacao)
Lineage: Eukaryota; Viridiplantae; Streptophyta; Magnoliopsida; Malvales; Malvaceae
Description: Plant small nucleolar RNA R71
Rfam family: Plant small nucleolar RNA R71
About the family: R71 is a member of the C/D box family of snoRNAs containing the C (UGAUGA) and D (CUGA) box motifs. Multiple nearly identical copies of this snoRNA have been identified in Arabidopsis, and it is thought to function as a 2'-O-ribose methylation guide for 18S ribosomal RNA.
Source: Rfam by way of RNAcentral